GACGAACGCUGGCGGCGUGCUUAACACAUGCAAGUCGAACGGAAAGGCCCUGCUUGCAGGGUACUCGAGUGGCGAACGGGUGAGUAACACGUGGGUGAUCUGCCCUGCACUUCGGGAUAAGCCUGGGAAACUGGGUCUAAUACCGGAUAGGAGCCAUUUUUAGUGUGAUGGUUGGAAAGUUUUUUCGGUGUAGGAUGAGCUCGCGGCCUAUCAGCUUGUUGGUGGGGUAAUGGCCUACCAAGGCGGCGACGGGUAGCCGGCCUGAGAGGGUGGACGGCCACAUUGGGACUGAGAGACGGCCCAGACUCCUACGGGAGGCAGCAGUGGGGAAUAUUGCACAAUGGGCGCAAGCCUGAUGCAGCGACGCCGCGUGGGGGAUGACGGACUUCGGGUUGUAAACUCCUUUCGCUAGGGACGAAGCUUUUUGUGACGGUACCUAGAUAAGAAGCACCGGCUAACUACGUG
This 465-nucleotide ribosomal RNA is filed under the name uncultured bacterium. Its description in RNAcentral is "partial 16S ribosomal RNA". It matches the Rfam family "Bacterial small subunit ribosomal RNA", at positions 28 to 507 of the family's 1533-position model. The record is from RNAcentral.